RNAcentral lists this ribosomal RNA (742 nucleotides) under Suillus ponderosus. RNAcentral's name for it is "eukaryotic LSU rRNA". The stretch from base 217 to 371 matches the Rfam family "5.8S ribosomal RNA". Lineage: Eukaryota; Fungi; Basidiomycota; Agaricomycetes; Boletales; Suillaceae. The record is from RNAcentral.
AUCAUUAAUGAAAUUGUAAUCCGGCGAGGGGGAAGGCGGAGAGUUGUCGCUGGCCUUUCGUGAGGCAUGUGCACGCUUUCUUCUCGACCUUCGCCGUAUGGGCGCGGGGCGACCCGCGUCUUCAUGCACCUCUUCGUGUAGAAAGUCUUUGAAUGUUACACCAUCAUCGACUCGCGACUUCUAGGAGACGCGAUUCUUUGAGACAAAAGUUAUUACAACUUUCAGCAACGGAUCUCUUGGCUCUCGCAUCGAUGAAGAACGCAGCGAAUCGCGAUAUGUAAUGUGAAUUGCAGAUCUACAGUGAAUCAUCGAAUCUUUGAACGCACCUUGCGCUCCUCGGUGUUCCGAGGAGCAUGCCUGUUUGAGUGUCAGUAAAUUCUCAACCCCUCUCGAUUUGCUUCGAGUGGGAGUUUGGAUGGUGGGGGUUGCCGGAGACCUGGAUUUAUUUCAGGACUCGGGCUCUCCUGAAAUGCAUCGGCUUGCGGUUGACUUUCGACUUUGCACGACAAGGCCUUCGGCGUGAUAAUGAUCGCCGUUAGCUGAAGCGCAUGAAUGAAUGGUCCCGUGCCUCUAAUACGUCGACGCUCUCGAGCGUCUUCCUUAUUGACGUUUGACCUCAAAUCAGGUAGGACUACCCGCUGAACUUAAGCAUAUCAAUAAGCGGAGGAAAAGAAACUAACAAGGAUUCCCCUAGUAACUGCGAGUGAACCGGGAAGAGCUCAAAUUUUGAAUCUGGCGGUCU